Molecule: ribosomal RNA, 253 nt
Filed under: uncultured bacterium
Lineage: Bacteria
Description: partial 16S ribosomal RNA
Rfam family: Bacterial small subunit ribosomal RNA
Source: RNAcentral
UACGUAGGGAGCAAGCGUUGUCCGGAAUCAUUGGGCGUAAAGCGCGCGUAGGUGGCUUCGUAAGUCCGUUGUGAAAGUCAAAGGCUCAACCUUUGAAAGCCGAUGGAUACUGCGGAGCUAGAGUACGGAAGAGGCGAGUGGAAUUCCUGGUGUAGCGGUGGAAUGCGCAGAUAUCAGGAGGAACACCAAUAGCGAAGGCAGCUCGCUGGGACGUUACUGACGCUAAGGCGCGAAAGCGUGGGGAGCGAACAGG